GCACUUGUAGCUUAGUGGAUAGAGCGUCUGUUUCCUAACUUGAAGCAUUUAGGUUUGACCCCUAGCUAGUGCG
RNAcentral lists this transfer RNA (73 nucleotides) under Ipomoea nil (Japanese morning glory). It matches the Rfam family "tRNA". From Rfam's summary of the family: Transfer RNA (tRNA) molecules are approximately 80 nucleotides in length. Their secondary structure includes four short double-helical elements and three loops (D, anti-codon, and T loops). The record is from Rfam by way of RNAcentral. Lineage: Eukaryota; Viridiplantae; Streptophyta; Magnoliopsida; Solanales; Convolvulaceae.